GACGAACCGUCCUAACGUUGUUCGGAAUCACUGGGCUUAAAGGGCGCGUAGGCGGGUCACAAAGUCCGGGGUGAAAUCUUUCGGCUCAACCGGAAAAUAGCCUUGGAUACUGGUGAUCUCGAGGGUGGUAGGGGCAUGUGGAACUUCCGGUGGAGCGGUGAAAUGUGUUGAUAUCGGAAGGAACGCCGGUGGCGAAAGCGACGUGCUGGACCACUACUGACGCUGAGGCGCGAAAGCCAGGGGAGCAAACGGG
Molecule: ribosomal RNA, 253 nt
Filed under: uncultured bacterium
Lineage: Bacteria
Description: partial 16S ribosomal RNA
Rfam family: Bacterial small subunit ribosomal RNA
Source: RNAcentral